RNAcentral lists this ribosomal RNA (253 nucleotides) under uncultured bacterium. Its description in RNAcentral is "partial 16S ribosomal RNA". It matches the Rfam family "Bacterial small subunit ribosomal RNA", at positions 524 to 776 of the family's 1533-position model. The record is from RNAcentral.
UACAGAGGGGGCAAGCGUUAUUCGGAAUUAUAGGGCGUAAAGGGCGCGUAGGCGGCUUGGCAAGUGGAAGGUGAAAUCCCUCGGCUUAACCGAGGAACUGCCCUCCAAACUGCUUCGCUUGAGACCGGGAGAGGUGAGUGGAGUUCCCAGUGUAGCGGUGAAAUGCGUAGAUAUUGGGAGGAACACCAGUGGCGAAGGCGGCUCACUGGACCGGAACUGACGCUGAUGCGCGAAAGCGUGGGGAGCAAACGGG